CAGCCGCCGCGGUAAUACGAAGGGGGCUAGCGUUGCUCGGAAUGACUGGGCGUAAAGGGCGCGUAGGCGGUUGCACAGUCAGAUGUGAAAUUCCUGGGCUUAACCUGGGGGCUGCAUUUGAUACGUGCGGACUUGAGUGUGAAAGAGGGUCGUGGAAUUCCCAGUGUAGAGGUGAAAUUCGUAGAUAUUGGGAAGAACACCGGUGGCGAAGGCGGCGACCUGGUUCAUGACUGACGCUGAGGCGCGAAAGCGUGGGGAGCAAACAGGAUUAGAGACCCGAGUAGUCCCUGUCUCUUAUACC
RNAcentral lists this ribosomal RNA (301 nucleotides) under uncultured bacterium. RNAcentral describes it as "partial 16S ribosomal RNA". It matches the Rfam family "Bacterial small subunit ribosomal RNA", at positions 509 to 808 of the family's 1533-position model. The record is from RNAcentral.